Molecule: ribosomal RNA, 1440 nt
Filed under: uncultured bacterium
Lineage: Bacteria
Description: 16S ribosomal RNA
Rfam family: Bacterial small subunit ribosomal RNA
Source: RNAcentral
UUAACACAUGCAAGUACGGGGGUCCGGGGGCAACUUCUGAUAACCGGCGAACGGCUGCGUAACACGUGAACAACCUGCCCUCGUGUGGGGGAUAGCCGGGCUAACGCCCGGGUAAUACCGCAUACGUUCUUUUCAGGGAGUCCUGGGAAGAGGAAAGCUCCGGCGCACGGGGAGGGGUUCGUGGCCUAUCAGCUCGUUGGCGGGGGUAACGGCCCACCAAGGCUGACUACGGGUAGCUUGGUCUGAGAGGAUGGCCAGCCACAUUGGGACUGAGAGACGGCCCAGACUCCUACGGGAGGCAGCAGUGGGGAAUCUUGCGCAAUGGCCGGAAGGCUGACGCAGCGACGCCGCGUGUGGGAGGACGCCUUUCGGGGUGUAAACCACUGUUGCCCGGGACGAACAGCCCUUUUCGAGGGGUCUGACGGUACCGGGUGAGGAAGCACCGGCUAACUCCGUGCCAGCAGGCCGCGGUAAUACGGAGGGUGCGAGCGUUGUCCCGGAAUCAUUGGGCGUAAAGGGCGCGUAGGUGGCCCGGUCAGUCUUUGGUGAAAGCGCGGGGGCUCAACCCUGCGUCGGCCAGGGAUACUGCCGCGGCUCGAGCACUUGUAGAGGCAGGCGGAAUUCCGGGUGUAGCGGGUGGAAUGCGUAGAGAUCCGGAAGAACACCGGUGGCGAAGGCGGCCUGCUGGGCAGUAUGGCUGACACUUGAGGCGCGACAGCGUGGGGAGCAAACAGGGAUUAGAUACCCUGGUAAGUCCACGCCGUAAAACGAUGGGCACCAGGCGCUUGGGGGGGAGCGACCCCCCGAGGGCCCGGCGCUAACGCAAUUAAGUGCCCCCCGCCUGGGGGAGUACCGGCCGCAAGGCUGAAACUCAAAGAAUUGACGGGGGCCCGCACAAGCGGUGGAGCAUGUGGUUUAAUUCGACGCAACGCGAAGAACCUUACCUAGGCUUGACAUACACGGGAAACCCUCGAGAAACCGGGGGCCCUCUUCGGAGCCCGGUGCACAGGUGCCUGCAUGGCUGUCGUCAGCUCGUGUCGUGAGAUGUUGGGUUAAGUCCCGCAACGAGCGCAACCCCUGUCUCUAGUUGCCAGCGCGUCAUGGCGGGGACUCUAGAGAGACUGCCGGUGCCAAACCGGAGGAAGGUGGGGAUGACGUCAAGUCAUCAUGGUCCUUACGUCUAGGGCUACACACGUGCUACAAUGGCGGGGACAGAGGGCUGCGAGCCGGCAACGGCGAGCCAAUCCCGUAAACCCCACCUCAGUUCGGAUUGUCGUCUGCAACCCGACGGCAUGAAGCUGGAAUCGCUAGUAAUCGUGGAUCAGCUACGCCACGGUGAAUACGUUCCCGGGCCUUGUACACACCGCCCGUCACGCCAUGGAAGCUGUGAGCGCCCGAAGUCCGUGUCGGAACCCGCAAGGGGCCAAGCGGCCGAAGGCG